Columba livia (rock pigeon) is the source of this 11139-nucleotide long non-coding RNA. RefSeq lists it as uncharacterized. Lineage: Eukaryota; Metazoa; Chordata; Aves; Columbiformes; Columbidae. The transcript is spliced from 4 exons. The record is from RefSeq and is a predicted model, not a curated record.
CCUCAUGUCUACCCUGAAUUUCCCCUUCUUUAGUUUAAAACUGUCACCCCUUGUCCUGUUGUAGCAUGCCCUUCUAAACACUCUGUCCCCAUCUUUCUUAUUGACCCCUUUUAAGUAUGGAAAGGCUGCAAUAAGGUCUCCCUGGAGCCUUCUCUUCUCCAGGCUGAACACCCCAACUCUCUCAGCCUGUCCUCCCAGCAGAGCUGUUCCAGCCUUGGAUCAUUUCUGUGGCUCCUCUGGCCCGUCUCCAACAGGUCCAUGUCUGUCCUGUGCUGAGACCCCAGAGCUGGGCUCAGCACCACAGGAAGGUGUCACCAGAGCAGAGGGGCAGAAUCACCUCCCUUGACCUGCUGGCCACGGUCCUUCUGAUGUAGCCUGAGACACGACUGUCCUUUUGGGCUGCAAGCACACGUGGCCAGCUCUGCCCUAACACAGCAUCUUCUCAUCCAGCACCACAGUUGGUGUAGCUCACUGCUGUCUAGAGGCUCAGGCAGCCUCCUGGGGAUCCAGAGCCUGUUGCCCGAGGAUGAGCGGGCAGGGAGUGGGCUGUGUGCUGGGGUGCACCAGGCAGGAGCUUGUUGGGACAAGCAGCAACCUGCCUGUGUGGGCAGGUGAGAGGAAAACCAGAGCCUGUCCUGGGGACUGGGGGUAAAGAGUCAGGCAAGGAGGGAGAGUGAAAACAUGGAGGAAAAAAGACUAGUAGGAUCCUGCAUUUACUUUGUUCCUGUUUUUCUCAUUUCACAGAAGUUACAGUCAAAGGAGAACGGUGAAACACUGGCCCAGGUUUCCCAUAGAGGUGGUGGAUGCCCCAUGCCUGGAGACGUCCCAGGCCAGGCUGGACGGGGCUCUGAGCAACCUGAGCUGGUGAAGAUGUCCCCGCUCAUGGCAGGGGGGUACUGGGUGAGCUUUGAAGGUCCCUUCCAACCCAAACUGUUCUAUGGUUCUAUGGAACUCCAGCCUUAUUGCAGCAAGCAACUCAGCAGACAGUCCUUUCAAACACAGAUGGUGGCUCUCCAGUCACAAACACAUCCCCAAACCUCCUGGAGCAGCAUGUGCCCUCAUUUCUUGUGUGGAAUGUAGCCUACAGGGCAUGUGUUUGCAACCCUGCACCUGCUCCCUCUAGUCUAUCUUUCUAUAUCUCCCUAGGGAUUAAUCUGCUCCCCAGUUCUGGUCUUUAAGAAGAUUGAAGGGGUUUUGUGCUAAAACUAAAAAAUUAGGUGAAGUGGAAGGAGCAGCUUCCCUCCCACAAGCCUUCUACAGUGCAGGAGAGGUCCUCAGUGGAAAGCUGUGCCAGAUGAGGAGAGUUCUGUCAGGAUCCCAGGCUUGUGUGUUAAUGCUGCUCAAGAGCUGAAGAAAACCCCCAAGCCCCAAACUCAGCUCAUUCCCCCACGAAAAUACCUCAUAAGGUGUUGUUGGGCAGCUCUGCCAGCAGUGAAGGGUCGUGACUGCUGUAGAAAUACUGGCUAGAGAUUAAUUCAAAUGGUUUUCUUAUUAGCAUUAUAAAGGUAAACAAAGGAAGGACUGGCAAAGAAGAGUCGGAAGGCAAGAAAAACUAAACUAUGCACAAUUUAAUCAACAGGCUAUUUAUUUGCUGUUAGAGCAAACCAGGAAUUUAUGCCCUGUGUUAAGCUCAUCAUGGUGUAAAACCCACUUUUGGGCCACUUAACAGAAAUCAUGAUAGUCUUAGGUCUGGAUGUUUGUUUGACUCUUCCCACUCAUUUUCAAGUGAUGUUCUCGCACUUUUCUCACCUCAGGCAGGACUCUUGGUGUGAAGGCUGCUCUGUGCCUUGUGCCUCCUGCCCUUGAGAUGAAUCUCAGCCCAAGUGCUGCGUCACACAUUUAGGGUGAGGUGCUGAGUAUCAGUCUUGACAACUGUGGGAUUUAGAAGAAAUAACGCAAUCAGACUCCUCAGUUUUUUUCACUUUAUUGACACUUACUCAGUAGCAGAAGUGCACAAGGAAAUUACUAAGGUCUAGGCGCAUAAGAAAAACAGGAUCAAGUCUUUUAUUUUGCAUCUUUGAACUCUAAAGACUUCGUUUUGUUCACACAAAAUUCACUCAUCCCUUGCAUGCUGCUGCUGGCACUACAUUUGCUGGGUGGCAUAUGUCUGGGUGGCAGAGGGGAGACUAGCUCCAAAGCACCUCCUCUUGACUUGGAUUUCAAACAUAUACAGUUAUGAUCUGUGUAAGAGUUUCAAUGCAGUGAAUAAUUUGGAUGGUGGCCUCUUUUCCCCUGUGAAUUCUAGUAGAUGAGGUAUGUCUCAGUGACAAAGAGGUGUGUUCUCUGCCUCAUGACAGGCUGGUUUCCAGAAACUUGAUAUUUCCAGGUAUUUCAGAACUAUCAUUUAGAUACCCGUGUCUCCUUGCAAGUUUUUGUACUUGUAUUUAAACAUCAGGCUGUCAACAAGACACAGUUCAUGUGAACGCUCGUCAUAGAAGAUGAUUACAAAAGCAAACAGAACGAUCACUCUGGGCUCACAGUUGGGAAGUAGGAAAAAAAUUAGUCUUGCAGAGCAAUGAGUCAAUGCAGCGAUGAAAUGCCUAUAUUGGUAAAUAAAGGCUGGCUGCUGUUGCCUGCUUCGUAGCCUGCGUGCCCCUGAGGGGUUUGGAAAGUGGUGAUGCAAACUGAUGAGUCACAGUUUAGAACAAUAGUUUCUUCAUGCAAAUGACUCAAGAUAAAAGAAAAACAGGUUUUUCAAGAAGCUGAAGCAGAAGAAAUUGCAAAAAGGAAAAAAAAAAAAAAUAAUAGGACAUCUUUAACCCUGUGUUGAAAGGACUAAAUCUUUUUCUAAAGAGUAAGGCAGUGGUUGUGGUGAAUGUCUGAGACCAGCGGAUUAGACCGCUAACCUUGCAGUCAGCUUUGCACUUCCAGAGCGUGUGUGCAGACAGCCAGAGGAAGACAAGACAGCUGAAUACUGUUCAGCCUUGCUCUCACCCACCGGCUUGCUGGGUGGUGAGCCACCAGGGUGGACACAUGAGGACAACCCAGUGUCAUUUGGAGGAGCAGUGAUGUCUCUGACAUGCUCUGUAAGCACAGUCGCCUGCCUGUGGGGCCGGAGCACCAGUUUGCUGUCAAAUUAGACUCGAGAAGUCAUAAAAUAAUUGCAGUAACAUCUUCAAGCUGUUUUCAUCGGUGAAGAUGCCAAAACUGCACUGAGGGCAGAUGAUGGCCCUGGGGAGCCGAGAGGCAGGGGCUGAGCUCUGGCUGGGACAGGCAGCACUGCAGGCUCCUCAUCUCAGCUGGGAAGGAGAUGUUCUCUUCCCUGCCUUGAUAAUUUGGGGUCUUCAUUGUACAUGCUGGAGUAGGGACCAGGCAUCCCCCUGUGCUGCUGAGCUGCACUGAGCUGCAGCAGGACUCAGCUCAUGUGGGACAAAGGCUGUGUCCCGGCUGGGGGAUUUGGGCCAGUUGUCAGAGGACAGAGUUAGGGCUGGUUCAGCCACAGCUGUGUUUCCGUCUGGGCUUUUCCUUUAGGUGUACAUUUGACGGUGUCACAGGAUGGAAAAAAAAACCUCUGCCACAGAGGAGCUGAGCCUGUCAGUCCCCCCACUGGGAUCAGGUCCCAGAGCAUCCUAAAAGGGGAUGCAGCACCCACAGGAUGCUAGGUGGGGGAGCAGAGGGAACCAACGUGUGGGGCUCCCAGUCGGUGACUGGUCCCAGCCCGACUUCAGUGUGUCAGAUCACCCCACCUCCUCGCUGUGAGUUUCGUUCUGACUUUCGGGUUGGAAUGAGUCAAAAUCUCAGAGCAAAAUGUUGAUGAAACCGCUGCCUGCAGUCGGGUUUCUCCUUGGACCAGUUGGAGGGAGCAUUUUUUGGGGGUGGGACAGCACCCACACGCCUGGCCCCACGCGCCUUCCUGGGAAAGGCAAAGAGGCACAAAGUGAAGGAGAUGGAGAUGUUUUACCAGCAAGACCUCAGUUCCUGCUGCUUAUCCUCAGAGAGCUGCAAAAGCUCAUUUGAGCUGGGUUUAGUCAAUGGUUGAGGCUGGGAAAUGUUUCAGUUGCUGCUGGGAACUGGCUCCUGGUUCUUUCUUGUCAUUCAGCAAUGAGCUAAUUCCUGAUUUAUUUACCGCAGUGGUACAGCCCUUCAGAUCCACUCAAGCUUCAGUCAGCAAACCUUUCCCUGCGUCCUGAUCCCCUCAUUUCCAAGGGAUCCUUUUCACUGAUACAGAAACCGAAAAUGCAAAAGGAGUCUGUAAAUCCAUCAUGCCAGCCCCCGGCAUCCCAUCUCUUCUUCAGCAGACAGCAAACGCCAACUUCAGACUGGGAAAACAGCCAAAAUGUGAUUUUUAUGAGGGUACAAGCGCAUUUCCUUCUUAUUAGCAGACAGCACUGCCCUUGGCCUCACUCAGCCGUGCAUUCGUUAGUACAAGAUGCUGCAAAGGCAAUAACCCUGAAAUGUCACAGCUGCAGAUUUGUAUCACACAGAUAAGAUGGUAUGAUUAAAUAAAGAAUCGCUCAACAUCUAAAUAUUCGGUAAAAGACAACAGAAUCUGCAAGAGUGAGAACAACACAGUGUAAAGGGUUCACAUCCCCACUCAACCUGGGAAACUUUGAAUGGCCUGGUAUAGAUAAACUAGUUUAACUCUCUUUUAAAGUGCUAGAAAGUAUGUAGAGCUUGACCAGGCUUGGAGAGGAGAUCGUUCCUCUGAAGUUUAAAGGUGAUCUCUGCUCCUUGCUUUGCUCCCAGCAGCAUUCAAUGAGCAGUUCAGCAGAGGAGGUUUGCAAAGGACAAGCUGGAUAAAUUACUUUACAGGAAAGUUACUGUCAGACAUUUACAAUCCCCACUGAGAGACCACAUGGUGGGUCAGGUUUGCACUGUAGCUGGGCUUUGCAGGGAACGUUAAGUCUUUUCUCAGCUUGAGGGUGUCUUCAAAUGAUAAUUAUAUCCAGUUACCACUGUAGCAAGUGCGGGUGGCUGGUUGCUCCCAAACCAGCUGCAUUGCUGCUCCCUUCCAUCCAGCUUUGCCUUUGCUGGAUGGGAGUGACCUGGAUGGAAACACCUCUGCAGGGUAAUGCCCACCAGCACUGCUCCCCCUGCUUGGGCCAAGUGGACCAGAUUUGCUGACUUUCAAAGCACAGGUUAUGUUUUCCAGCCGCAGAAGAGAGCUGUGAGCCGUAGGCAGCAGUGACAUCUCCCUUGCUGUCAGGUGGGGCAGUUACUUCAUCCUCGCCCACUAUUUUCUAAUGCUUGGGAUGGAAAACAUUGCACACGUGUUGCUGGUGGGAUGCGGCUGUUGGUGGGGGGAAGGCAUGGCUCCCAGAGCUCAGCUAUUUAUAGUGUUUCUUCAUCCUAGUGUAUUUAUGUGAGCCAGUUUCAUAGCUAUUGUCUAGCACAAGCAGAGGACUGGGGAGAUGCUCGCAGGCUUCAAAUCAGAGGAGUGACCAUAGUUCUCAUGGCUCAGCACAUAUCUGUCUCUUGCGGUGCUGAUUAACAGUGGCUCUGCUGCCCUGUGCCUGACUGUGUCUUGGCAGUCUCGUGCCUCAGAAAGCCUAAAAAAUCAGCCAUGAGUGACUUUUGCUGCUGGAGAAGAGCCAGUGCCGAGGAGGUGAUGCUCAGAGCACGGGGCAUGUGUGUCUCCGUCCUGCCUCUGGCCACCCAGCGAUGCUGCUUGGCUCUGUGCUGCUCCAGAGGCUGCUGUCUGUCUGUAUGGUGGAUUUAAAAUGAAGGUUUGGACCAGGGAAUUCCCCACAUGUCUCCAGAAGCAACCCUUUGUGGGGAGAGGAUCACCCCAGGUCUGUGUGGGAUCUCUCUGGGAGCUGGGGACUCCUCUGUCCCCUGGGCUGGUGUCUUUGGGAAUGCGCAGCACAAGAACUGGCAUCCUUGCCGCUAUGUUUUAUCCCCCAAAUUUAGUCAUUUUAAAGCCAGAGCUACAAAAAUUGCUGAUUUCCCUCUUUUAGAAAUGCUUUAUUGAUCCUGCUUGCUAAUUAAGGGCAGGAAUUUAUCCCCCGCCUGCCAGUCCCUCUGCACAGCCUGAGUGUUAUUUGUGGUAUCUCAUACAACAAACACCUAUUUUUAGCUGAGCAUUCUUGGAAGGGGUUUCUGUACCUUGUUUUCCGCAGGGAAUUCUCUCUUGCAGGGUGCCUGGAGCUGCUGGUGGUACUCCAGCCUGCACAGGAGGAUGCUUGGAUGGAGGCAGGUCCAGACCUGUGUGGAUGGCCGGUGUCCCUCUCUCAUGGCAGCAGCAUCCUAAACAAACACAGCAUCUUGCUCCUCGGAGUAAUUUUCCCAGGAGUUAUGGCUGCAGAUGUAUUAUUUUGCUUUUUGACCUGCCUGCCUCCCAGGAAAAACUCCAUUUCAUUGAUCGGGCCAUUUCAAGCUCAUUGCAGGGCUGCCAAUAGCUAAGCCAUAACAGUAAUUUUAACCUCUGCAUUUUCUCCUAGUGUUUAGUGUCAGUGUUAUAAAGUACCACUCCAAAUAUAAGCACAGGCAGUCAAUUAUUUUAAUCUUUAUUACAUUGGAAUGUACAGCAGCUUCUCCUGAGCAAAAAACACUGUGUCUGAUACUCAGCAGAGUGGGUUUGGCUGGGAAAUGGCAUCCAACCACUUUGGGAAGCUCCAUCCCACCACGGCACACAUCAGCCGAGCUCAUGGACACCCCCUGGAUUCAUUUCUCAGGUCAGCCACAGCACGAACAACACCCCCAGCACCCAACUCCUGCCUUUGGAAGGGAUGAUACUCCUCCAACUUCCUUCUAAUUCCCCUAUAAAUUGGUUGCAGGAUUCAGUAUCAGUGCCCACAGCACCCACUCAGACAAAGCUGUGGUCUCACCCUGUGCCCCCCAAAAACCGCUUCGCUGGGGGUUGAGCACCUGCCCACCAUGAAUGGUCUCUGGCGUAUCCCAGGAGCAGAAAGAGCUGCCCGCGAACAAAACCAGCCCCAUCUCAUCACUCCGACUUCCCCGUGAAAAACGGUGCCGGUUAAACCCUGCAUGUCACAUGCACAGUCUAUAUUUAACUUGUGUAUUAAAUGGACAAGGAAUGAGUUUGUCAAGUGGAAUUUGGGAUGGGUGACACAUCAAGGCAGAGGCAGCGCUGGUGAAAUCCAGCUGGUUCAGCCAGGGUCAGUGUUGGCUGCAGUGGGAAGUUUUUUCCCCUUGUUGUGUGGGUUAGUCAUAGGUUUGUUUAUUUUUUUAGAUUUUUUUUCUUAUUCAUCUGUUGCAAUCACAGCAGACACAUCAUUUCACAGCCCUACAUGGAAAUCCAAGUCUAACAAACUAUUUUUAGCACACAAAAUGUCUUCUCUAAAUGUAUUAACUUUGGAAGAGUAAAUAUUAAAUACACUCUCAUUGCAUUAGGAGCAUUUAUGCAGAAGUACAGCACCAGCGUUUUUAAUGGUUAGGGGAAAUUAUGUUAUGCCACUAGCACUUAAUCAAACACAAUAAAACGAGAUCUUACCGCAGUUCUUUCAGGAUAAGUUGAAGGGAAAUUAAUUCAUUUUCACACCCAUUGCUGACGAUUUACUGACACUGAGGCACUUUUGUCCCAUUAGUGUUUAUGGUGGCACUUGCAAUCCUUAUGCAAAACAUGCUGGGGAUAGCCUAACAUUUAUUUUGCAAUUAAACUGAAAUGAUUCUUUGCCUGCUCACUCCCGAUCGAGGCAUUCAGCACCAUCUGUGAGGAGGGUACUACAGGCAAACCCCAAGCAAGCAAUGCAGGGAUACCCUAUGUGCUAUUAAUGCCUAUAUUUUUUUAAAAUAAGAAUUUUUUUUUGUAACUUUAUUGUGGAAGUAUUUUUCAGGCUGGGCUGUAGGAGAAGGAUGAUGUGUUGCUGCUGGUGGAAUCCUGGUGUCCCAGGGGUUGCUGAGGAUGAUGUCGCUGCUCUGCUGGGUGCCUGGAAGAACAGCGGUGACCCUCAGGACUGGUGGUUCGGGGACCUGUGCUGGUGGCUCUCGCCUGGUGAUGGGCACUGGGGUACUGCCCAGGUGUGGGGACCCAGGGGUUGGGUCCUGUCCUUGCGGAGCUCCCCAUUGUUCCUUGCUCCUGCAAAAACUGGCUGCUGAUUUGGGAGUUGUUUCCCCAACCAGAAGGACUCCAGGACUAAGGAGCUGAGCUAUUCUUGAUGGAUUGGUUUUGUUGUCAUGUCAGUUAUUGUCUCUCCAGUGAAAUGGGCUCUCUGGGAAGAGGAGACAUACAGAGCAACUGUUGGCUGCACAAAUGUAAAUGCAAACACAACAGAAAUUUGGAAAUUCACUGUUUGCAGGCAGACGGUGGCUGCACCAGCAGGGCUGGACCAGCUCCACAUCCCCAUGCACAGAGCUGCAUCCCUGGGGUUACAGAAUCAUUUUGGUUAGAAGAGACCCUCAAGAUCAUCGAGUCCAACCGUAACUCUGGCACAAAACCAUGUUCCUAAGAACCUCAUCUCUGCAUCUGCCCAACCCCUCCAGGGAUGGUGACUCCACCACUGCCCUGGGCAGCCUGUUCCAGUGCCCAGCAAACCUUUCUGGGAAGACAUUUGGUUCACAUAAUAAUGGUUUACAUGGUCCCCAGGUAACUUUGCUCCGUGUGACCUUGCUCACCACACAGACACUGAGGUACACAGAAAACACUGCUUUAUUGACUGCAUUUGCCAAUACACUGAGGAAUGCAAAGGGUUUUCUUUUCAUAAGCAAUGGGCCAUGGUCCCAAUGUGUAUUAAAGCAUACACUGUACCUAAACAGGAUGAAAAUAAUGGCAGACAGCUAUUCCAAGGCAACACAAAUAGCAUGCAUAAUACAGUCUCACACAGAACGAGUUUGAUAACAUUAUAUUGCUUUAAGGAUUAACUAACAUGGAAAAUGUACAAAAAGGAGAAAUAGGUUUUUGCAUUAAUGAAAAAUACAUUUUUUUCUCUACAAAGGAAUUUCUAAUACAAGAAAAUAAAUAUUGCAACAUAAGCCAAAAAUAAUUUAAAAUUGCUCUUUUCAAUAUAUUUUCAAUAUUUCUCUUUUAUAUUAACAAAUGGCACAUCACGUUCUUUGAAACAAAGAAAACAGAAGGGUUUCUCCUCCUGUGACAUUCAUAUCAUUUCCUGUAACUGAUGUGAAGUGGGUCUGUUUUGUAUGUGAAAUGGCGCAAACUGCGGGGGAUUUCCUUAAAGAACAACCAAACCUGCCCUGCACCAGCAUCUUCCUGCUCGGCAGCUGCUCCCGCAUCCCGCUUGCACCUCCUGGCUCCGUUCUGCAUCCCGCCUUGGGGUGCACUCUGUCGGACAGCAGGCACCUAGACCCCGUCAAAUAGGUGCAAGCAAAACAAAGUUAAAAAAAUGAGGGUGGGGAGAAGGGGUGUGUGGAAUCGGAGCUGUCCUUGGGGCUGGGGUCGGUGUCAGGGCUGUGCUCCGUGCCCCGCGCAUGAUGCUGUUCGCAUCCUCAUCUCAACCACAACAGCUGCUGCUUCUUCAAGGAAACGGCUGCUCAGUGCAAAUGGCGAUUCCUGCAGUUUAUAUAUCUUUAAAAGACAACACUUCUCUACUAAAAUAAAUCCUUGUAUUUUUUUUUAAUUCCUUUCUAUUAAUUUCAAAAUACAUUUACAGUGACAUCAAAAAUAUUUGCCUUGUGCAUUUUCUCUCCUGAAUGCCAGGCUCCCCUGAUCCAAGGUGAGGGGAUGGCAAGAAUGUGCCAGGCAGGGAUUCCACAGCCCUCAAAGAGCCCCUUCCCUCCACGGAUACCCCUUUUCUCUUAUCUUAUUUCACCCACCCCAUUCUUCUCCCCGGGUCUGACAUGCCCCACAACCCCCUUUAGUUUUCCCCACCUAAACACCGUCUCCUGAUGGCAAAAUACGACGUUUUUGGGAGCAUUUCAAACUGGUUCAUUGCCUGGUGCUGGUGGCGCCGGGUUGGUUGUUCUUCAAAGUCUCCCUCUUUUUGCUUUCCUGUACUGAGAAGACAAGUAGUGCAGAAGCUGAUGAAUGGAGCUGUGUACAGUGAAAUUUGUGGAUUGCUUUUUUUUUUAACCAUAAUUGAGUGAAGCACACGGAAGCAAGAUUCAUUAAAAGGCAGCAUAUUGAUUAUUGUUAUGACUCUUAUACUAGGAUACUGUAGCUAAAGCUAGCAAGCCUGAUAAGAUAAACUAAGUCCUAUUUACUGUAUUUAACAUUAUCUGAACACACUGAGCCUUAAUUAAUGAGCAGAUUUUCAUUUCCAACCUCAAUGGAUUUUGCUAAUUUAUAGCAAAGGUGGUUCCCAUUUUGUUGAUUUUUUUUUGUUUGUUUUUUUUCUUCCUGCUAAUAACUUGUGUAACAUUUUUCCCAUCUGAGGCAGAUUUCCCCCCAGGCAUGGUCAGUGUGGGGCUUAGCCAGGGCUGGGUGCGUCCCACCCGAAUCCCCCGCUGCUCAUCAUGCCUGGGAUGAGCUCGGCUGUCAUCGCUUAUCUUUGCUGCAAUUUCAUCAAGAAUAAGGACUUUGGAAGGCUGAUAAAGAUGAUCUACUCUAAAACAUCAAUUGAAGGAGUCUCAGAGUUUCAAAAGAAAGCUCACAGUGAAAUGAGCAUAAAGCAUCGGAAAUCAAAACGGCAGGAUGCAGUCUGGGAGCAGCAGCAUCCCUCGGAGCAAGCUCGGAACCUAACACCACAGCAGUGUGUUAUGAGUGUGUCUUUAGUCCUUUGUUGCUAAACAACUUCCAAUUCUUUUUUGUAAUGACAAGUUUCUGGUUUCUGGCUGUGCUGCUUGACUGUCAAAAUAUUCUUUGGCAUCCACAACAUUAUUUGACUGAUUGGUUUGAAAAUUGCAAGGUUUUUUUGUUUAGUGAUGGGUUUAACCGGUUGCAGAAGUGUCCCAGGUUUGGUUUAUUUUUUUUAAAGUUUUUUAUUUUUUUUAGACAUUUUUUAUUUUUAAAAAACAACAACAACAAAAGUUUCAGUGAAUUCCUUUUUUUUUUGUUCCCUGAGCUCACACUGGGGUCACUCCAAUAAAACACGUAGCACGACUCAACUGUGACCUUUGAAGCCAAAACCGAAGUAAUGGUGCAAUUAAGUGCAAACAUGGAAAUUCGCCUGACUUGUAGGUAACAAGGGCUUUUAAACAACAUUUAAGGCUUAUUUGGGACAUUUUAUGCAUUAAAUUAUUGUAGUAUUUAUAAUGUCAGCUUCUGUGAAUCACCCUCCCACAACGAAUCAACAGCUUGUAACCAAGACUUAAGGAAUAAUAAUUAAAAAAAAAAAAAAAAAAAAA